RNAcentral lists this ribosomal RNA (405 nucleotides) under uncultured bacterium. Its description in RNAcentral is "bacterial SSU rRNA". It matches the Rfam family "Bacterial small subunit ribosomal RNA", at positions 355 to 776 of the family's 1533-position model. The record is from RNAcentral.
UUAGGAAUCUUGCGCAAUGGGGGAAACCCUGACGCAGCGACGCCGCGUGGGUGAAGAAGGCCUUCGGGUCGUAAAGCCCUUUUCCGAGGGACGAUAAUGACGGUACCUCGGGAAUAAGCCCCGGCUAACUACGUGCCAGCAGCCGCGGUAAUACGUAGGGGGCAAGCGUUGUCCGGAUUUACUGGGCGUAAAGAGCGCGCAGGCGGCUUCGUAAGUUGGCUGUGAAAUCUCCGGGCUCAACUCGGAGGGGUCAGUCGAAACUGCGGGGCUACGAGGGCGGUAGGGGGAGAUGGAAUUCCCGGUGUAGUGGUGAAAUGCGUAGAUAUCGGGAGGAACACCGAUGGCGAAAGCGAUCUCCUGGGCCGUACCUGACGCUGAGGCGCGAAAGCGUGGGGAGCGAACUGA